AAGUCGUAACAAGGUUUCCGUAGGUGAACCUGCGGAAGGAUCAUUAUCACGUAUCCACGUAUAAACCACUGCGAACUGUAUUCCCUUCAGAGGGUUAGGGUCUCCUUAACGGAGAGCUUUGGGCCAAUAGUCUUCUCAAUUUCGUGAUGGAGAAGCGGUCUAGAGUUGUUUCACGACACCUUAGUCUUUUGGAGCGGUUAUUCAUCACGAACCGUUUAAACUUAUUAACCCCUUUAAACUUUUGAACUGAAUUUUAAGCUUUUGAUGUAAGAGCGUCUUUCGGGAUGUUCUGAUCAAAUGUCUUAUACUUACGAAAUAUUCGAACAAUUCUUAACAACGGAUAUCUUGGCUCUGAUAACGAUGAAGAACGCAGC
RNAcentral lists this unclassified non-coding RNA (374 nucleotides) under fungal sp. RNAcentral's name for it is "partial internal transcribed spacer region". The stretch from base 1 to 46 matches the Rfam family "Eukaryotic small subunit ribosomal RNA", at positions 1786 to 1831 of the family's 1831-position model. Lineage: Eukaryota; Fungi. The record is from RNAcentral.